Molecule: unclassified non-coding RNA, 253 nt
Filed under: uncultured Actinomycetes bacterium
Lineage: Bacteria; Bacillati; Actinomycetota; Actinomycetes
Description: uncultured actinobacterium contains 16S-23S intergenic spacer region
Rfam family: Bacterial small subunit ribosomal RNA
Source: RNAcentral
UACGUAGGGUGCGAGCGAUGUCCGGAAUUAUUGGGCGUAAAGAGCUCGUAGGCGGUUUGUCGCGUCGAUUGUGAAAGCCCGGGGCUCAACCCCGGGUCUGCCAUCGAUACGGGCAGGCUGGAGUUCGGCAGGGGAGACUGGAAUUACUGGUGUAGCGGUGAAAUGCGCAGAUAUCAGGAGGAACACCGGUGGCGAAGGCGGGUCUCUGGGCCGAUACUGACGCUGAGGAGCGAAAGCGUGGGGAGCGAACAGG